Molecule: ribosomal RNA, 2885 nt
Filed under: Klebsiella pneumoniae
Lineage: Bacteria; Pseudomonadati; Pseudomonadota; Gammaproteobacteria; Enterobacterales; Enterobacteriaceae
Description: 23S ribosomal RNA
Rfam family: Bacterial large subunit ribosomal RNA
Source: RNAcentral
GGUUAAGCGACUAAGCGUACACGGUGGAUGCCCGGCAGUCAGAGGCGAUGAAGGACGUGCUAAUCUGCGAAAAGCGUCGGUAAGGUGAUAUGAACCGUUAUAACCGGCGAUGUCCGAAUGGGAAACCCAGUGUGAUUCGUCACACUAUCGUUAACUGAAUACAUAGGUUAACGAGGCGAACCGGGGAACUGAAACAUCUAAGUACCCCGAGGAAAAGAAAUCAACCGAGAUUCCCCAGUAGCGGCGAGCGAACGGGGAGCAGCCCAGAGUCUGAAUCAGCUUGUGUGUUAGUGGAACGGUCUGGAAAGUCCGACGGUACAGGGUGAUAGUCCCGUACACCAAAAUGCACAGGUUGUGAACUCGAAGAGUAGGGCGGGACACGUGGUAUCCUGUCUGAAUAUGGGGGACCAUCCUCCAAGGCUAAAUACUCCUGACUGACCGAUAGUGAACCAGUACCGUGAGGGAAAGGCGAAAAGAACCCCGGCGAGGGGUGAAAAAGAACCUGAAACCGUGUACGUACAAGCAGUGGGAGCACCUUCGGGUGUGACUGCGUACCUUUGUAUAAUGGGUCAGCGACUUAUAUUCUGUAGCAAGGUUAACCGUAUAGGGGAGCCGCAGGGAAACCGAGUCUUAACUGGGCGUUAAGUUGCAGGGUAUAGACCCGAAACCCGGUGAUCUAGCCAUGGGCAGGUUGAAGGUUGGGUAACACUAACUGGAGGACCGAACCGACUAAUGUUGAAAAAUUAGCGGAUGACUUGUGGCUGGGGUGAAAGGCCAAUCAAACCGGGAGAUAGCUGGUUCUCCCCGAAAGCUAUUUAGGUAGCGCCUCGUGAACUCAUCUUCGGGGGUAGAGCACUGUUUCGGCUAGGGGUCAUCCCGACUUACCAACCCGAUGCAAACUACGAAUACCGAAGAAUGUUAUCACGGGAGACACACGGCGGGUGCUAACGUCCGUCGUGAAGAGGGAAACAACCCAGACCGCCAGCUAAGGUCCCAAAGUCAUGGUUAAGUGGGAAACGAUGUGGGAAGGCACAGACAGCCAGGAUGUUGGCUUAGAAGCAGCCAUCAUUUAAAGAAAGCGUAAUAGCUCACUGGUCGAGUCGGCCUGCGCGGAAGAUGUAACGGGGCUAAACCAUGCACCGAAGCUGCGGCAGCGACACUAUGUGUUGUUGGGUAGGGGAGCGUUCUGUAAGCCUGCGAAGGUGUGCUGUGAGGCAUGCUGGAGGUAUCAGAAGUGCGAAUGCUGACAUAAGUAACGAUAAAGCGGGUGAAAAGCCCGCUCGCCGGAAGACCAAGGGUUCCUGUCCAACGUUAAUCGGGGCAGGGUGAGUCGACCCCAAGGCGAGGCCGAAAGGCGUAGUCGAUGGGAAACAGGUUAAUAUUCCUGUACUUGGUGUUACUGCGAAGGGGGACGGAGAAGGCUAUGUUAGCCGGGCGACGGUUGUCCCGGUUUAAGCAUGUAGGCUGAUUGUCCAGGCAAAUCCGGAUAAUCAAGGCUGAGGUGUGAUGACGAGGCACUACGGUGCUGAAGUAACAAAUGCCCUGCUUCCGGAAAAGCCUCUAAGCAUCAGGUAACAUCAAAUCGUACCCCAAACCGACACAGGUGGUCAGGUAGAGAAUACCAAGGCGCUUGAGAGAACUCGGGUGAAGGAACUAGGCAAAAUGGUGCCGUAACUUCGGGAGAAGGCACGCUGGUGUGUAGGUGAAGUCCCUGCGGAUGGAGCUGAGACCAGUCGAAGAUACCAGCUGGCUGCAACUGUUUAUUAAAAACACAGCACUGUGCAAACACGAAAGUGGACGUAUACGGUGUGACGCCUGCCCGGUGCCGGAAGGUUAAUUGAUGGGGUUAUCCGUAAGGAGAAGCUCUUGAUCGAAGCCCCGGUAAACGGCGGCCGUAACUAUAACGGUCCUAAGGUAGCGAAAUUCCUUGUCGGGUAAGUUCCGACCUGCACGAAUGGCGUAAUGAUGGCCAGGCUGUCUCCACCCGAGACUCAGUGAAAUUGAACUCGCUGUGAAGAUGCAGUGUACCCGCGGCAAGACGGAAAGACCCCGUGAACCUUUACUAUAGCUUGACACUGAACAUUGAGCCUUGAUGUGUAGGAUAGGUGGGAGGCUUUGAAGCGUGGACGCCAGUCUGCGUGGAGCCAACCUUGAAAUACCACCCUUUAAUGUUUGAUGUUCUAACGUUGGCCCCUUACCGGGGUUGCGGACAGUGUCUGGUGGGUAGUUUGACUGGGGCGGUCUCCUCCCAAAGCGUAACGGAGGAGCACGAAGGUUAGCUAAUCCUGGUCGGACAUCAGGAGGUUAGUGCAAUGGCAUAAGCUAGCUUGACUGCGAGCGUGACGGCGCGAGCAGGUGCAGCAGGUCAUAGUGAUCCGGUGGUUCUGAAUGGAAGGGCCAUCGCUCAACGGAUAAAAGGUACUCCGGGGAUAACAGGCUGAUACCGCCCAAGAGUUCAUAUCGACGGCGGUGUUUGGCACCUCGAUGUCGGCUCAUCACAUCCUGGGGCUGAAGUAGGUCCCAAGGGUAUGGCUGUUCGCCAUUUAAAGUGGUACGCGAGCUGGGUUUAGAACGUCGUGAGACAGUUCGGUCCCUAUCUGCCGUGGGCGCUGGAGAAUUGAGGGGGCUGCUCCUAGUACGAGAGGACCGGAGUGGACGCAUCACUGGUGUUCGGGUUGUCAUGCCAAUGGCACUGCCCGGUAGCUAAAUGCGGAAGAGAUAAGUGCUGAAAGCAUCUAAGCACGAAACUUGCCCCGAGAUGAGUUCUCCCUGAGACUUUAAGUCUCCUGAAGGAACGUUGAAGACGACGACGUUGAUAGGCCGGGUGUGUAAGCGCAGCGAUGCGUUGAGCUAACCGGUACUAAUGAACCGUGAGGCUUAACCUU